Castor canadensis (American beaver) is the source of this 684-nucleotide non-coding RNA. The record is from RefSeq and is a predicted model, not a curated record. NCBI's taxonomy places the organism in Eukaryota, Metazoa, Chordata, Mammalia, Rodentia, Castoridae.
CACCGGCACACACGCACCCACACCCAGAGUGGGAAAGGCGAGGCGAGCCACCCCAAGCCGUCUCCGGUCUCCUCGCGGGGGCCCCCCGGCCCGCCCCGGUGCCACUUGGCAUCCCACGCCACAGGAGACGGUGCGGAGAGCGGUAAGGCUUUCUAACCUGUUGGUGGUGCAAAGUCUAACCUGUUGGUGGUACAAAGACCCACUUCGAGAGGAUCCUUUGGUGUCUUGGACAAGCCUCCCCGCAUGUGGCAGGUGCUGUGCUGGUCACCGGUGACCCAAGGAUGAUGAAAAAUAUGUCCCUGCCCACAAGGAGUUAGCAGCCCCCUGAGGAUUCCUCUUGCUGAUGACAUGAUUCCCGUUUGAAUCUGUUUACAAGAUUCUGAAAGCUGAACAGGGAAUUGUGCUGCACUGGCAUAGCAAGAAGUUGAUCAUAUCAAGGAUACCUGGAGCAGGAGAGAGCAGACGGGGAGACGGACCAGGAUGUCUUCCAAGCGACCAGCCUCUCCGUAUGGGGAAGCAGAUGGAGAGGUAGCCAUGGUGACAAGCAGACAGAAAGUGGAAGAAGAGGAGAGUGACGGGCUCCCAGCCUUUCACCUUCCCUUGCAUGUGAGUUUUCCCAACAAGCCUCACUCUGAGGAAUUUCAGCCAGUUUCUCUGCUGACGCAAGAGACUUGUGGCCCUAGG